UUAACUCAUAUUUGUAUGGAGUUGAAACGUUUGUCUACGUUUGCCGCUAGGGGCGCUGUUCCAACUGCAAAAAAGAUAACUUU
This 83-nucleotide microRNA precursor is filed under the name Bombyx mori (domestic silkworm). RNAcentral describes it as "mir-2807 microRNA precursor family". It matches the Rfam family "mir-2807 microRNA precursor family". Lineage: Eukaryota; Metazoa; Arthropoda; Insecta; Lepidoptera; Bombycidae. The record is from Rfam by way of RNAcentral.